UAACUCUGGUUUCCCUUCAAAACGUAUAAAUCUUUCGCCUUUUACUAAAGAUUUCCGUGGAGGGGAACACUCAAAUGAGUCUUUGAUAUAUUUUUGAUACCCUACCUUCAGCGUAGGGC
Molecule: small nuclear RNA, 119 nt
Organism: Pararge aegeria (speckled wood butterfly)
Lineage: Eukaryota; Metazoa; Arthropoda; Insecta; Lepidoptera; Nymphalidae
Product: U5 spliceosomal RNA
Exons: 1
Source: RefSeq, a predicted model, not a curated record